RNAcentral lists this small RNA (82 nucleotides) under Escherichia coli. RNAcentral's name for it is "partial RtT sRNA". It matches the Rfam family "RtT RNA", at positions 1 to 80 of the family's 130-position model. Rfam says of the family: This family represents a bacterial cis-regulatory element known as RtT RNA. The exact function of RtT is unknown although it is thought that it may be involved in changing the cellular response in relation to amino acid starvation. Lineage: Bacteria; Pseudomonadati; Pseudomonadota; Gammaproteobacteria; Enterobacterales; Enterobacteriaceae. The record is from RNAcentral.
AUUCUGCCCAUACGGGGAAGGAUGAGAAACUUCGACCAAGGUUCGACUCGAGCGCCAGCGAGAGAGCGUUGCCGCAGGCAAC